CUUUAACGAUAUUAAGAAUGAUGAAAUAAGACUGAGCCUGGGUCAUAAAUUCAAUGUCCUAGGCACUACAAUGUUAUAUUGGCAGUAGUUGACUGAAAGAAAAUACGCUUGUAACAAGCUUUUUUCAAUUAGAUUCGGG
This 139-nucleotide small nuclear RNA is filed under the name Staphylococcus aureus. RNAcentral describes it as "SaV33". The record is from RNAcentral. Lineage: Bacteria; Bacillati; Bacillota; Bacilli; Caryophanales; Staphylococcaceae.